CGUAAAGGUGCAUGAGUGGUGUUUGGUUUGUUACGGGUGGUUGGCUCUUUGCUUGCGCAACAACUUCCACUUGGCAUACCUCUUCAGUCUUGUGUCAAUGUUUGUAUUGCAUUGAAUGCACGGUGGGUUUGCUGUGUUGCAUGCCUAAUCAAUGGUAUCAUUUGAUGAAUUGAAGUUCUUUUUCGUCUUGUGUUGCACAUGCAAUGUGAGAUGAACCUUGAAGCAAGCUUUGUGAUCCACUCUUUUGAUGCACAUGCAUCGAUUUGGUGGCCCAUUGAUUGUUGCUUGGUCUCAUGGAUAUGGAACCUGGUGUGGGCAUUAUGAAUUCCUCGUUUGCCCUAGUUUAGCUUUUCAAAUACGAGUGUCU
Molecule: unclassified non-coding RNA, 367 nt
Filed under: Gnaphalium aldunateoides
Lineage: Eukaryota; Viridiplantae; Streptophyta; Magnoliopsida; Asterales; Asteraceae
Description: partial external transcribed spacer
Source: RNAcentral